This 600-nucleotide ribosomal RNA is filed under the name uncultured bacterium. RNAcentral's name for it is "partial 16S ribosomal RNA". It matches the Rfam family "Bacterial small subunit ribosomal RNA", at positions 338 to 873 of the family's 1533-position model. The record is from RNAcentral.
CCUACGGGAGGCAGCAGUAGGGAAUCUUCCGCAAUGGACGAAAGUCUGACGGAGCAACGCCGCGUGAACGAUGAAGGCCUUCGGGUCGUAAAGUUCUGUUGUUAGGGAAGAACAAGUGCUAGUUAAAUAAGCUGGCACCUUGACGGUACCUAACCAGAAAGCCACGGCUAACUACGUGCCAGCAGCCGCGGUAAUACGUAGGUGGCAAGCGUUGUCCGGAAUUAUUGGGCGUAAAGCGCGCGCAGGCGGUUUCUUAAGUCUGAUGUGAAAGCCCCCGGCUCAACCGGGGAGGGUCAUUGGAAACUGGGAAACUUGAGUGCAGAAGAGGAAAGUGGAGUUCCAAGUGUAGCGGUGAGAUGCGUAGAGAUUUGGAGGAACACCAGUGGCGAAGGCGACUUCCUGGUCUGUAACCUGACGCUGAGGCGCGAAAGCGUGGGGAGCAAACAGGAUUAGGAUACCCUGGUAGUCCAGCUGUAAACGAUGAGUGCUAAGUGUUAGAGGGUUUCCGCCCUUUAGUGNUGAGUACGANAUANNCNCGCGUGGNGAGUGNGAGAGNGAAUANAAUUAGAUGNGNGNGNGNGNGCGAGNGCACGAGGAGAG